Pelobates cultripes (western spadefoot toad) is the source of this 272-nucleotide non-coding RNA. The record is from the annotation of a GenBank genome assembly. NCBI's taxonomy places the organism in Eukaryota, Metazoa, Chordata, Amphibia, Anura, Pelobatidae.
ACUGAGAAAAGUCAAGCGUGCAGCUGCCACGAUGCCACUUGCCACCAGUUUGGCCAUAUUUCAGAGCUGCAACAUCACUGGAGUGCCCAAAAGCACAAGGUGUGCAAUACUCAGAGACAUGGCCAAGGUAAGAAAGGCUGAAAGACGACCUCCACUGAACAAGACACACAAGCUGAAACGUCAAGACUGGGCCAAGAAAUAUCUCAAGACUGAUUUUUCUAAGGUUUUAUGGACUGAUGAAAUGAGAAUGAGUCUUGAUGGGCCAGAUGGAU